GGCCAAUCAAAAAAGGCUAGUGUUAUACAAGAUUGCUUUUUUUUUUUUCCCUCUUUUUAACACUAUCUAAAUAUGAGUGAGAAUUUAUCAAAAAACUGGGAGUACCAUUUGGCGAAACGAGCACCCUGCUGGUAGUAGGCAGCUGUGCGGGAGGAAAGACCGUCAAGGCCCUGGCACCAGGACUCGUUGUUGGAACCAGGGAGGGGUACCAAACCCUGCAUUUAUCAUCAUCGAUUAACAAGUGUUGGUGAAAUUCUGAUCAAACAAAAUUCCAUUGCCUCCUUAAACAUCAUAUGUAUGCGUAACUUGCUAUGAGGUUAUUGGCUUUGGCUUUACCUUGUCAACUUUGAUACCAGGGACAAUGUUUUGCUCAACAAGAACAUCAACCAUCUUUUUUCCAUCGGUGGUAGAUUGGUAGAGAGUCUCCUCGAAAAGGAUAGCUCCAGAGAUGUACUCGCCGAGGCCAGGGGCUGACACCAGAAGGGUACGGUAUGCUUGGCGGUUAGCCUCAGUGUUCUCUAGACCGAUUGAGGCAAGUCUCUUCCCACAUGUAGCAUUUGAUUCGUCCAUGGCCAAAAUACCACGGCCUGGGGAUGCAAUGGUUUUCUACAUCCAGAGGAAAGAAAGGAAAACGCACGUCAAAUGGUGUGUCCUACAUAGUUCAGAAACUCAUUCACAAAAGUAGCAAUAUAAUCUAAUCAAUAAAAUUAAACCACCCAGAAACUACAUAGAUUAAUUUAUUUUACUUGCAAUCUCUUUAACAGGAUUGGUGACUUAUUUUCCUUUUACACUUCUUUGAAUUAAUUUUUUUUUAAGUUCUUUGAAUCACAUACAAUCUGAAUUAUCUAACUAGAUAGAGUGAGCAGUUGCACUUAUAAACUAUUCUAACAUGAAUUCAAGAUAAUGUGUCGGACACAGAAACGUGUCUCACGUGAGUAUCUUGUCUUUUUAAUAACUUAUCGUAUUCAUAUAUAAGAAUAUCAUAGGAAUACGUUAAAGUGACGCAAAUUAGGAAUUUAGUGUAGCAUAGCUUAACUAAGCUAAGCUAAUAUAUAAAAAGAUGGUUCAGGAGAUUAAAUCUAUAUCGAACUCGAAGACUUAAAUAUUUUAUAUAUCGUAUAAGAAGAGUCGAGUAGCAUUGAGUACACAUACCGCGGUCUUAAUAAGCUCAUCAGCGUAGGAACUGGCACGGACGGUGAGGGCUGAUGGGGCGGUGGGGUGGCAUCUGACAACAGAAACUGCAGGCUGGCGGAGGUUUUGGCCCUUAACCCACUCAGAC
This 1279-nucleotide long non-coding RNA is filed under the name Theobroma cacao (cacao). RNAcentral's name for it is "long non-coding RNA (TCAC_LNC000726)". Lineage: Eukaryota; Viridiplantae; Streptophyta; Magnoliopsida; Malvales; Malvaceae. The record is from RNAcentral.